GGGCCGUUAGCUCAGCCUGGCUAGAGCGCUUGACUUUUAAUCAAGAGGUCGCGAGUUCGAAUCUCGUACGGCCCG
RNAcentral lists this transfer RNA (75 nucleotides) under Candidatus Woesearchaeota archaeon. Its description in RNAcentral is "tRNA-Lys". It matches the Rfam family "tRNA". Rfam says of the family: Transfer RNA (tRNA) molecules are approximately 80 nucleotides in length. Lineage: Archaea; Nanobdellati; Candidatus Woesearchaeota. The record is from RNAcentral.